This is a long non-coding RNA of Cornus florida, 533 nucleotides long. RefSeq lists it as uncharacterized. The transcript is spliced from 2 exons. The record is from RefSeq and is a predicted model, not a curated record. NCBI's taxonomy places the organism in Eukaryota, Viridiplantae, Streptophyta, Magnoliopsida, Cornales, Cornaceae.
ACUUUUUAAGUGAAUUGUGAGACCAAAAUUGGUCUCUGCCUUUCUCUCUCUCUCCCGACAGACGCCUCUGCUUCUCCUUCUUGUCUUUUUUUUUCUUUUCUUUUCACUUCAAGCUUCCAUUGUUGAUUACUCCUUCAUCUUUUGUCGGAUUGAGGUGCCGUUUGAGGUAAAACGAAGCUUGUAUCGAGCUCUACACAUCCAUACCAACAAUUCCAGAUUUGGUGCACCCUUUGGACUUUGAAAUUUAGGACCCAUUUUCUAGGGUUUGCUCAUUUUUGAGGUCUUGGAAAAGAACCGGUGGACGACAACCCACCUCAAGCUUGAGCGAUACGAGAAGCUCACUUUUGUGUCUUUUGUAUAUCUCCCAUUAUUUUUGCAAAGCACUAAAAGUGUGAAGGUGUAUAUGUAUAUUUUGCAAAACUUUGUUAUGUAAUGUAAGGUAUUUGAUGAUAUUUUGGAUGUGAAUUUGAUAACAUGUAAACCUUAUUGAUGCAUGGGGAGAGUAAUACUAGUUUGAGGUAUUAUCGAGGUCA